GGAGCUUGCUCUUCUUGGAUGAGUUGCGAACGGGUGAGUAACGCGUAGGUAACCUGCCUUGUAGCGGGGGAUAACUAUUGGAAACGAUAGCUAAUACCGCAUAACAAUGGAUGACACAUGUCAUUUAUUUGAAAGGGGCAAUUGCUCCACUACAAGAUGGACCUGCGUUGUAUUAGCUAGUAGGUGAGGUAAUGGCUCACCUAGGCGACGAUACAUAGCCGACCUGAGAGGGUGAUCGGCCACACUGGGACUGAGACACGGCCCAGACUCCUACGGGAGGCAGCAGUAGGGAAUCUUCGGCAAUGGGGGCAACCCUGACCGAGCAACGCCGCGUGAGUGAAGAAGGUUUUCGGAUCGUAAAGCUCUGUUGUAAGUCAAGAACGGGUGUGAGAGUGGAAAGUUCACACUGUGACGGUAGCUUACCAGAAAGGGACGGCUAACUACGUGCCAGCAGCCGCGGUAAUACGUAGGUCCCGAGCGUUGUCCGGAUUUAUUGGGCGUAAAGCGAGCGCAGGCGGUUUGAUAAGUCUGAAGUUAAAGGCUGU
RNAcentral lists this ribosomal RNA (545 nucleotides) under Streptococcus thermophilus. RNAcentral's name for it is "bacterial SSU rRNA". It matches the Rfam family "Bacterial small subunit ribosomal RNA", at positions 75 to 605 of the family's 1533-position model. The record is from RNAcentral. Lineage: Bacteria; Bacillati; Bacillota; Bacilli; Lactobacillales; Streptococcaceae.